UGGGGGAUAUUGCACAAUGGGCGAAAGCCUGAUGCAGCGACGCCGCGUGGGGGAUGAAGGCUUUCGGGUUGUAAACCUCUUUCGCUAUCGAACAAGGACCGCUUAGGGUGGGUUGAGGGUAGGUGGAGAAGAAGCGCCGGCUAACUACGUGCCAGCAGCCGCGGUAAUACGUAGGGCGCGAGCGUUGUCCGGAAUUAUUGGGCGUAAAGGGCUUGUAGGCGGCUUGUUGCGCCUGCUGUGAAAACGCGGGGCUUAACUUCGCGCGUGCAGUGGGUACGGGCAGGCUUGAGUGUGGGAGGGGUGACUGGAAUUCCAGGUGUAGCGGUGGAAUGCGCAGAUAUCUGGAGGAACACCGAUGGCGAAGGCAGGUCACUGGGCCAUUACUGACGCUGAGGAGCGAAAGCAUGGGUAGCGAACAGG
This 420-nucleotide ribosomal RNA is filed under the name bacterium. RNAcentral's name for it is "partial 16S ribosomal RNA". It matches the Rfam family "Bacterial small subunit ribosomal RNA", at positions 355 to 776 of the family's 1533-position model. The record is from RNAcentral.